AUGGCUAAUUAUGCACAGGAACCUCAAAAUCCCAGCAAGAAAUCAAAAAAGAAAGCUGUCACCCUCAAAACUUUUUAUGGAGGAAAAACCCAGGCUACAGAGGAAAUACUGGAUGAAAGUCAAACAAAGGCAAAAAGAAAGAAAGAAAGAAAGAAAGAAAGAAAGAAAGAAAGAAAGAAAGAAAGAAAGAAAGAAAGAAAGAAAGAAAGAAAGAAAGAAAGAAAGAAAGAAAGAAAGAAAGAAAGAAAGAAAGAAAGAAAGAAAGAAAGAAAGAAAGAAAGAAAGAAAGAAGGAAAGAAAAGAGAAAGAAAGAAGGAAAGAAGGAAAGAAGGAAAGAAGGAAAGAAGGAAAGAAGGAAAGAAGGAAAGAAAGAAAGAAAGAAAGAAAGAAAGAAAGAAAGAAAGAAAGAAAGAAAGAAAGAAAGAAAGAAAGAAAGAAAGAAAGAAAGAGAGAAAGAAAGAAAGAAAAUACCUGGCCUCAAGUACUUACAACUGUGUGAUCCUGGGCAAAUCAUUUGACCCUGUUUGCCUCAGUU
This 535-nucleotide long non-coding RNA is filed under the name Monodelphis domestica (gray short-tailed opossum). RNAcentral's name for it is "lncRNA (ENSMODG00000048913.1)". The record is from RNAcentral. Lineage: Eukaryota; Metazoa; Chordata; Mammalia; Didelphimorphia; Didelphidae.